UUACUAAGCGGAGGAAAAGAAACUAACAAGGAUUCCCCUAGUAACGGCGAGUGAAAAGGGAAAAGCCCAGCACCGAAUCCCACAGCCUUGCGCUGUCGGGAACUGUGGUGUAUAGGAAGCCUACUUGUCGGCGUGUUCGGGUACCCAAGUCCUCCUGAUCGUGGCCUCUCCCAUAGCGGGUGUCAGGCCCAUACAGGCACCCGACGGCGUCGGCUUGGAGCUUCCUCGGAGUCGGGUUGUUUGGGAAUG
This 249-nucleotide ribosomal RNA is filed under the name Unio ravoisieri. Its description in RNAcentral is "partial 28S ribosomal RNA". It matches the Rfam family "Eukaryotic large subunit ribosomal RNA", at positions 43 to 282 of the family's 3401-position model. The record is from RNAcentral. Lineage: Eukaryota; Metazoa; Mollusca; Bivalvia; Unionida; Unionidae.